GUUGGUGGGUCCCGGUGGGUGACCUGGCGCGCUCUUCGAGGGGCCGCAUGCUACGCCAUCGAGCCGCGGGAGCUGCUCGACUGCUGCCUCAGGGGAGUGGUCGGUAAGACCGUGGGCGAUGGAAUGGUAGUCACUGCCCGCUACAAUGCUGAGACAAAGGCUAUAGAGUACCGGUUAGUGAAGUAAAUAUUUAGCAUUUCGUUUUUUAUGCAACAUUUUUUUUCUUUUUGCCGGAGAUCGUCUGUCUUACCAUAUUUUAAAUUUCAGUCUUGAGGCAGCUGAUAACCAGCAAUCUUCCGCCCAGUGUUUGCCGAGACCAUCCGCUGACCAUCUCAUCCAUGACCUUAAAUUCCUUUACGAUGCCCUGCUCAACCCGGCCUCCAUGCAACCCUACAAGCCAAGUGCCUUGAGGGAAUCUGCCCUCAGCUCUGCAGUUAAGCUUCUCGACUGUAAGCAAUUUAUCAGACAUUACGAUGAGUCUGUAUCGUACCUGUCACCUCCAAAUCCAUCAUCUGCGACGGCUCUUUGGUGCCACGUCAAGUUGGUCGACCAUCCGGAGGACUACACGGCUCCCCCACCGGAACUCCUGAUUCUAUCAGCAGGUGCCACCAUAGCCGAUCUCAAGCUGCAGGUGACGAAAACAUUCCAAGAGACCUAC
This 658-nucleotide long non-coding RNA is filed under the name Musa acuminata (dwarf banana). Its description in RNAcentral is "long non-coding RNA (MACU_LNC001474)". Lineage: Eukaryota; Viridiplantae; Streptophyta; Magnoliopsida; Zingiberales; Musaceae. The record is from RNAcentral.